CCUACGGGAGGCAGCAGUGAGGAAUAUUGGUCAAUGGACGAGAGUCUGAACCAGCCAAGUAGCGUGAAGGAUGACUGCCCUAUGGGUUGUAAACUUCUUUUAUAAGGGAAUAAAACGAGGCACGUGUGCCUUUUUGCAUGUACUUUAUGAAUAAGGAUCGGCUAACUCCGUGCCAGCAGCCGCGGUAAUACGGAGGAUCCGAGCGUUAUCCGGAUUUAUUGGGUUUAAAGGGAGCGUAGAUGGGUUGUUAAGUCAGUUGUGAAAGGUUGCGGCUCAACCGUAAAAUUGCAAUUGAUACUGGCAGUCUUGAGUACAGUUGAGGUAGGCGGAAUUCGUGGUGUAGCGGUGAAAUGCUUAGAUAUCACGAAGAACUCCGAUUGCGAAGGCAGCUUACUAAACUGCCACUGACAUUGAUGCUCGAAAGUGUGGGUAUCAAACAGGAUUAGAUACCCUGUAGUC
This 459-nucleotide ribosomal RNA is filed under the name uncultured bacterium. RNAcentral's name for it is "partial 16S ribosomal RNA". It matches the Rfam family "Bacterial small subunit ribosomal RNA", at positions 338 to 795 of the family's 1533-position model. The record is from RNAcentral.